This 1359-nucleotide ribosomal RNA is filed under the name uncultured bacterium. RNAcentral's name for it is "bacterial SSU rRNA". It matches the Rfam family "Bacterial small subunit ribosomal RNA", at positions 28 to 1381 of the family's 1533-position model. The record is from RNAcentral.
GAUGAACGCUAGCUACAGGCUUAACACAUGCAAGUCGAGGGGCAGCAUUUCAGUUUGCUUGCAAACUGGAGAUGGCGACCGGCGCACGGGUGAGUAACACGUAUCCAACCUGCCGAUAACUCGGGGAUAGCCUUUCGAAAGAAAGAUUAAUACCCGAUGGUAUAAUCAGACCGCAUGGUCUUGUUAUUAAAGAAUUUCGGUUAUCGAUGGGGAUGCGUUCCAUUAGGCAGUUGGUGAGGUAACGGCUCACCAAACCUUCGAUGGAUAGGGGUUCUGAGAGGAAGGUCCCCCACAUUGGAACUGAGACACGGUCCAAACUCCUACGGGAGGCAGCAGUGAGGAAUAUUGGUCAAUGGGCGCAGGCCUGAACCAGCCAAGUAGCGUGAAGGAUGACUGCCCUAUGGGUUGUAAACUUCUUUUAUAUGGGAAUAAAGUUUUCCACGUGUGGAAUUUUGUAUGUACCAUAUGAAUAAGGAUCGGCUAACUCCGUGCCAGCAGCCGCGGUAAUACGGAGGAUCCGAGCGUUAUCCGGAUUUAUUGGGUUUAAAGGGAGCGUAGGUGGACAGUUAAGUCAGUUGUGAAAGUUUGCGGCUCAACCGUAAAAUUGCAGUUGAUACUGGCUGUCUUGAGUACAGUAGAGGUGGGCGGAAUUCGUGGUGUAGCGGUGAAAUGCUUAGAAAUCACGAAGAACUCCGAUUGCGAAGGCAGCUCACUGGACUGCAACUGACACUGAUGCUCGAAAGUGUGGGUAUCAAACAGGAUUAGAUACCCUGGUAGUCCACACAGUAAACGAUGAAUACUCGCUGUUUGCGAUAUACAGUAAGCGGCCAAGCGAAAGCAUUAAGUAUUCCACCUGGGGAGUACGCCGGCAACGGUGAAACUCAAAGGAAUUGACGGGGGCCCGCACAAGCGGAGGAACAUGUGGUUUAAUUCGAUGAUACGCGAGGAACCUUACCCGGGCUUAAAUUGCAUUUGAAUAUAUUGGAAACAGUAUAGCCGUAAGGCAAAUGUGAAGGUGCUGCAUGGUUGUCGUCAGCUCGUGCCGUGAGGUGUCGGCUUAAGUGCCAUAACGAGCGCAACCCUUAUCUUUAGUUACUAACAGGUCAUGCUGAGGACUCUAGAGAGACUGCCGUCGUAAGAUGUGAGGAAGGUGGGGAUGACGUCAAAUCAGCACGGCCCUUACGUCCGGGGCUACACACGUGUUACAAUGGGGGGUACAGAAGGCAGCUACCUGGUGACAGGAUGCUAAUCCCAAAAGCCUCUCUCAGUUCGGAUCGAAGUCUGCAACCCGACUUCGUGAAGCUGGAUUCGCUAGUAAUCGCGCAUCAGCCAUGGCGCGGUGAAUACGUCCCCGGGCCU